UGGGGAAUAUUGGGCAAUGGGCGCAAGCCUGACCCAGCAACGCCGCGUGAAGGAAGAAGGCCCUCGGGUUGUAAACUUCUUUUAACAGGGACGAAGAAAGUGACGGUACCUGUUGAAUAAGCCACGGCUAACUACGUGCCAGCAGCCGCGGUAAUACGUAGGUGGCAAGCGUUAUCCGGAUUUACUGGGUGUAAAGGGCGUGUAGGCGGGACUGCAAGUCAGAUGUGAAAACCAUGGGCUCAACCCAUGGCCUGCAUUUGAAACUGUAGUUCUUGAGUGUUGGAGAGGCAGGCGGAAUUCCGUGUGUAGCGGUGAAAUGCGUAGAUAUACGGAGGAACACCAGUGGCGAAGGCGGCCUGCUGGACAAUAACUGACGCUGAGGCGCGAAAGCGUGGGGAGCAAACAGGAUUAGAUACCC
RNAcentral lists this ribosomal RNA (418 nucleotides) under uncultured bacterium. Its description in RNAcentral is "bacterial SSU rRNA". It matches the Rfam family "Bacterial small subunit ribosomal RNA", at positions 355 to 787 of the family's 1533-position model. The record is from RNAcentral.